Molecule: ribosomal RNA, 476 nt
Filed under: bacterium BSD16-2-2
Lineage: Bacteria
Description: bacterial SSU rRNA
Rfam family: Bacterial small subunit ribosomal RNA
Source: RNAcentral
CAAGUCGAGCGAACAGAAAAGGAGCUUGCUCCUUUGACGUUAGCGGCGGACGGGUGAGUAACACGUGGGCAACCUACCCUAUAGUUUGGGAUAACUCCGGGAAACCGGGGCUAAUACCGAAUAAUCUCUUUUGCUUCAUGGUGAAAGACUGAAAGACGGUUUCGGCUGUCGCUAUAGGAUGGGCCCGCGGCGCAUUAGCUAGUUGGUGAGGUAACGGCUCACCAAGGCGACGAUGCGUAGCCGACCUGAGAGGGUGAUCGGCCACACUGGGACUGAGACACGGCCCAGACUCCUACGGGAGGCAGCAGUAGGGAAUCUUCCACAAUGGGCGAAAGCCUGAUGGAGCAACGCCGCGUGAGUGAAGAAGGUUUUCGGAUCGUAAAACUCUGUUGUAAGGGAAGAACAAGUACAGUAGUAACUGGCUGUACCUUGACGGUACCUUAUUAGAAAGCCACGGCUAACUACGUGCCAGCAGC